Molecule: transfer RNA, 70 nt
Filed under: Camelus bactrianus (Bactrian camel)
Lineage: Eukaryota; Metazoa; Chordata; Mammalia; Artiodactyla; Camelidae
Also listed under: 2 other names
Rfam family: tRNA
About the family: Transfer RNA (tRNA) molecules are approximately 80 nucleotides in length. Their secondary structure includes four short double-helical elements and three loops (D, anti-codon, and T loops).
Source: Rfam by way of RNAcentral
GGGUAUAGCUCAGCGGUAGAGUGCGUGCUUUGCAGGCACAAGGUCUUGGGUUCAAUCCCCAAUAUGUCCA